This 711-nucleotide ribosomal RNA is filed under the name Triticum aestivum (bread wheat). RNAcentral describes it as "partial small subunit ribosomal RNA". The record is from RNAcentral. Lineage: Eukaryota; Viridiplantae; Streptophyta; Magnoliopsida; Poales; Poaceae.
AUGACUCAUAACGAGCAUUUAGCUCUAGAGGAAGGGGCGAUUACAGAAUCUUCAGAGAAGAAUAAACAGUUAUGGACCUGUCUGUGGAAGCUCAAAGUUCUACCUAAGGUGCGUGUGUUUUGGUGGAGGGUCCUCCGUGGCAUCCUUCCAGUGGAAAAGACACUAAAACACAGACAUAUUGCAACCUUGGCAAGAUGCAAGGUGUGCAUUGGCGCAGAUGAAGAUAUGAUGCAUGCUUUGAUCAAGUGUUCACAUGCUCAAUCUUUCUGGACAGAAGCAAGAGAAUGGCUACAUAUCAAGCUACCGGAGCUACACCCUCUGACUUGGUGUAGGGAUAUUCUUUGCGACUCUAGGUUCUCAGAGAGUGACCGGGCAAAAUUUGUUACGGUCAUGUGGGCUAUUUGGACCUCACGCAACAACAUAACGCAUGACAAAGCAAGUAUGAGCCCGGCGCAAUCACUCAAACGUAUAAGAGAAACUCUCUCCUUGUUGGAGUUACCUUUGGAACAGACGAAGGUUCUACCUGGCUAUGGUUGGAAGCCACCGGAUCAAGGCUGGACGAAGAUAAACACAGAUGCUAGUGUUUCAGCGCUUGAACAUAGAAGUGGAGCUGGAGGAGUGGCACGGACUUCCUUGACCUUCUUGGCUGCCUGGAGUAAGCCCUACACCCACAUCACGGACCCGUUGAUUGCCGAGGCGUCUGCUCUAUGA